AUUUGUUUUCCCCUCUCCUUUCCUUUGAAUCCCACUUUCUGUCUUCAUUCCCCUGUCAUCUGAGUGCUAUUUGGCCCCUUUACUUUAUUUUAGUGUGUCUUCUCUUUUCUUUGUUUUUUUCAAACUCACUCUUGACCAUUCUUCGUUCUAUUUUAUUGCAGUCCCGUUUCUUUCCCUCUUUCUCUGUCUCUCCCUCAUUUACUUCUCCUGAGAUUUACGCAGCUUGACUUCAUGAGCUCACUGUCACAUCAAGGGAAAACAGAAAGGAGGAGCCAUGGCUGGAGGGAGGAGGCUUAUCUUACCUUGUAAC
This 310-nucleotide long non-coding RNA is filed under the name Homo sapiens (human). RNAcentral's name for it is "non-protein coding lnc-GAP43-17:1". The record is from RNAcentral. Lineage: Eukaryota; Metazoa; Chordata; Mammalia; Primates; Hominidae.